GUGAGGACGUGGGGCAUGUGAGCGCGCUCACUAAGGUUCUUUAAUUUUAUUUCUCAACGAAAAUAUUUGCACAUUAUUUGGGGUUUGGCCAAAGGAGUAUGUAUUUGGUCAUUUUUAGAGUAAAAUGAUAGCCUGGGAUCCUGGCUGACUGCUCGACAGAAGAGCCAGGCGGAAUACAACCUGGUAUGUCAAUAGGAUAUUAGGAUUAUAU
RNAcentral lists this long non-coding RNA (211 nucleotides) under Mytilus galloprovincialis (Mediterranean mussel). The record is from RNAcentral. Lineage: Eukaryota; Metazoa; Mollusca; Bivalvia; Mytilida; Mytilidae.